UACGAAGGGGGCGAGCGUUGUUCGGAUUUACUGGGCGUAAAGGGCGCGCAGGCGGCUAUCCAAGUCAGGCGUGAAAGCCCCGGGCUUAACCUGGGAGGUGCGUCUGGGACUGGGUGGCUAGAGUUCGGGAGAGGAGAGUGGAAUUCCCAGUGUAGAGGUGAAAUUCGUAGAUAUUGGGAAGAACACCGGUGGCGAAGGCGGCUCUCUGGACAGUUCCUGACGCUGAGGCACGAAGGUCAGGGGAGCAAACGGG
Molecule: ribosomal RNA, 253 nt
Filed under: uncultured bacterium
Lineage: Bacteria
Description: partial 16S ribosomal RNA
Rfam family: Bacterial small subunit ribosomal RNA
Source: RNAcentral